This 72-nucleotide transfer RNA is filed under the name Camelus bactrianus (Bactrian camel). It matches the Rfam family "tRNA". Rfam says of the family: Transfer RNA (tRNA) molecules are approximately 80 nucleotides in length. Their secondary structure includes four short double-helical elements and three loops (D, anti-codon, and T loops). Further hydrogen bonds mediate the characteristic L-shaped molecular structure. tRNAs have two regions of fundamental functional importance: the anti-codon, which is responsible for specific mRNA codon recognition, and the 3' end, to which the tRNAs corresponding amino acid is attached (by aminoacyl-tRNA synthetases). tRNAs cope with the degeneracy of the genetic code in two manners: having more than one tRNA (with a specific anti-codon) for a particular amino acid; and 'wobble' base-pairing, i.e. permitting non-standard base-pairing at the 3rd anti-codon position. The record is from Rfam by way of RNAcentral. RNAcentral also lists the same sequence under 3 other names. Lineage: Eukaryota; Metazoa; Chordata; Mammalia; Artiodactyla; Camelidae.
GAGGGUAUAGCUCAGUGGUAGAGUGCCUGCUUAGCAUGCACAAGGCCCUGGGUUCAAUCCCCAGUAUCUCCA